Molecule: ribosomal RNA, 300 nt
Filed under: Triticum aestivum (bread wheat)
Lineage: Eukaryota; Viridiplantae; Streptophyta; Magnoliopsida; Poales; Poaceae
Description: partial small subunit ribosomal RNA
Source: RNAcentral
AUGAGGAGCAGCAGCAGCAGCACCGGGUCGGCGCCCAGGAGGAGGCCGAUGAGCGACCUCAUCGGCGCCAGCGACGACCUCGGAUCCCGCUUCUCCGUCGCCACCACCACGGCCUCGUCCGAGCGGUCCGCGGGUGGCCGUGGGACAGCCGCCUUCCGCUCCUGCUUCGCCCCCGCGGACGUGCGCUCGCCGGAGACCUCCCUCUCCGACGUCGACCUCGACGCCUCCCACCAACGUACGUCGUUCGCGCACGCUUUCCCUGAACCUUUUCUCCAGUGGUCCCUGUGUGUGCUCUCCUGA